ACAUCAGUGGUGAAACGGUUAUCAUGCCUGCCUUCCAUCAUGACAACAGAUACCAUCUAAGCAGGCGGCGGGGGUUCGACUCCCUCCUGAUGUA
Fistulina hepatica ATCC 64428 is the source of this 94-nucleotide transfer RNA. It matches the Rfam family "tRNA". Rfam says of the family: Transfer RNA (tRNA) molecules are approximately 80 nucleotides in length. Their secondary structure includes four short double-helical elements and three loops (D, anti-codon, and T loops). Further hydrogen bonds mediate the characteristic L-shaped molecular structure. tRNAs have two regions of fundamental functional importance: the anti-codon, which is responsible for specific mRNA codon recognition, and the 3' end, to which the tRNAs corresponding amino acid is attached (by aminoacyl-tRNA synthetases). tRNAs cope with the degeneracy of the genetic code in two manners: having more than one tRNA (with a specific anti-codon) for a particular amino acid; and 'wobble' base-pairing, i.e. permitting non-standard base-pairing at the 3rd anti-codon position. The record is from Rfam. Lineage: Eukaryota; Fungi; Basidiomycota; Agaricomycetes; Agaricales; Fistulinaceae.